RNAcentral lists this transfer RNA (75 nucleotides) under Salmonella enterica subsp. enterica serovar Enteritidis. RNAcentral describes it as "tRNA-Gly". It matches the Rfam family "tRNA". Rfam says of the family: Transfer RNA (tRNA) molecules are approximately 80 nucleotides in length. Their secondary structure includes four short double-helical elements and three loops (D, anti-codon, and T loops). The record is from RNAcentral. Lineage: Bacteria; Pseudomonadati; Pseudomonadota; Gammaproteobacteria; Enterobacterales; Enterobacteriaceae. RNAcentral also lists the same sequence under 1 other name.
GCGAGAGUAACUCAGUGGUAGAGUGUCAGCCUUCCAAGCUGUUCGUCGCGGGUUCGAUCCCCGUCUCUCGCUCCA